This is a long non-coding RNA of Harmonia axyridis, 981 nucleotides long. RefSeq lists it as uncharacterized. Lineage: Eukaryota; Metazoa; Arthropoda; Insecta; Coleoptera; Coccinellidae. The transcript has 2 exons. The record is from RefSeq and is a predicted model, not a curated record.
UAAUAUGGUAUAAUACAUCAUAAAAACCUAGGUGGCUUGUGUUUUAAUUAAUGUAAUUUCUUUAGCAAUGACAGUUUUGGUUAUAAUUAUAUAUUUUAAUUUUUGGUGUAUCGACAAGAUUCAAAAUCAGGGAUUCCUUUGUCAUGAGUAGAUGCGCAACCGUCCAAAUGUCAAACAUUAUCAUAACCCAAAAUAUUGAACCUGAAUGGAGGGAAAUGUUUUCAAAACGCAUAUUGUCGAGGCAUUCAUUGACACAGAUGCUUCUUUCUUAAUGAAACAUACCUCUGUAAUAACCCAGACUACUGAUUACACUAAUAAUUCGAACAAGUGAAUGAUUCUUCAAUUUCAUCGAUAUUAGUGGACGACAGGGUUUGAAUUUAAAUUGUAAAAUGUGUCAUCAUUCAGAAAGAAUUGAAAUAAAACGGGAAUUAGAUGAGUUUCUAAGGAGAUUUUUAUUCGGAAUGCGCGCAAGAUGCCCCGACUAUUUGAUGUUCACAAUGGUCAUGUUGAUAAGUUAUACAAAUUAUUUCAUAAUCAUAACCACAGAUGAUCUGUGCGAAUUUGCAAAAAAUUUCCUCUAUGUGUGGAUAAACGAUGGGAGUCUCUCAGAAUUCUUAGAAUCUAGAUCGGUAAAAUUGUUCCCUUCCAUAUUAGGACUUGUAUUUCUUGCUUUAAGCUUUCUAUUACACUAUAUUUUGGGAUUAUUGUUUAUUCGUAGUACACUCAGAACAUAUAUACUCCACAAAAAAGGAUAUCUCAAGGAAUUGGAUGUAUUUAGAUUUAUCUUGUUUUCAAGGACAGAUUGAUGUUGACCAAUAUUCUAAAGUUCAUUAAUUCGAUAGAGAUAUUAAGUAUCAUAUUUAGUCUUUCAUAUAUUUGUGAUAUUGUGAUUAUUCGAAUACCGAAUUCAAAUAUUUUAAGGUUGAAGAUAUGAAAAUAAAUUUUGAUGUUAUGCGAUUUUAAAUAUACAUUGAUGUUUUA